Molecule: ribosomal RNA, 1496 nt
Filed under: metagenome
Description: bacterial LSU rRNA
Rfam family: Bacterial large subunit ribosomal RNA
Source: RNAcentral
AAAUAUUCCUGUACCGAUGUGUAGUGCGAUGUGGGGACGGAUCUUAAUAGGUCAUCCGGGUGUUGGAUAUCCCGGUUUAGUUGGAAGUAGGCGAUGGGUAGGCAAAUCCGCCCGUCAUAUACCGAGGCCAACGAUCGAGCCAGCUUGCUGGUGAAGUGACUGAACGAGGUUCCAGGAAAAGCCACUAAGCUUCAGCUAUACACGACCGUACCGCAAACCGACACUGGUGCGCGAGAUGAGUAUUCUAGGGCGCUUGAGAGAACUCAGGAGAAGGAACUCGGCAAGUUGACACCGUAACUUCGGAAGAAGGUGUGCCCUAUUAGUGUGAAGUGAACAACGGAGCAUGAAUGGGUUGCAAAAAAUCGGUGGCUGCGACUGUUUAUUAAAAACACAGCACUCUGCAAACACGAAAGUGGACGUAUAGGGUGUGACGCCUGCCCGGUGCUGGAAGAUUAAAUGAUGGGGUGCAAGCUCUUGAUUGAAGUCCCAGUAAACGGCGGCCGUAACAAUAACGGUCCUAAGGUAGCGAAAUUCCUUGUCGGGUAAGUUCCGACCUGCACGAAUGGCGUAACGAUGGCCACACUGUCUCCUCCUGAGACUCAGCGAAGUUGAAAUGUUUGUGAUGAUGCAAUCUCCCCGCGGAAAGACGGAAAGACCCCAUGAACCUUUACUGUAGCUUUGUAUUGGACUUUGAACAGAUCUGUGUAGGAUAGGUGGGAGGCUUUGAAGCAGGGUCGCUAGAUCUUGUGGAGCCAACGUUGAAAUACCACCCUGGUGUGUUUGAGGUUCUAACCUAGGUCCAUUAUCUGGAUCGGGGACAGUGCAUGGUAGGCAGUUUGACUGGGGCGGUCUCCUCCCAAAGCGUAACGGAGGAGUUCGAAGGUACGCUAGUUACGGUCGGACAUCGUGACGAUAGUGCAAUGGCAUAAGCGUGCUUAACUGCGAGACUGACAAGUCGAGCAGAUGCGAAAGCAGGACAUAGUGAUCCGGUGGUUCUGUAUGGAAGGGCCAUCGCUCAACGGAUAAAAGGUACUCUGGGGAUAACAGGCUGAUACCGCCCAAGAGUUCAUAUCGACGGCGGUGUUUGGCACCUCGAUGUCGGCUCAUCUCAUCCUGGGGCUGUAGCCGGUCCCAAGGGUAUGGCUGUUCGCCAUUUAAAGAGGUACGUGAGCUGGGUUUAAAACGUCGUGAGACAGUUUGGUCCCUAUCUUCCGUGGGCGCUGCAGAUUUGAGGAAGCCUGCUCCUAGUACGAGAGGACCGGAGUGGACACACCUCUGGUGUAUCGGUUGUCACGCCAGUGGCAUUGCCGAGUAGCUAAGUGUGGAAGAGAUAACCGCUGAAAGCAUCUAAGCGGGAAACUCGUUUCAAGAUGAGAUCUGCCGGGGCCUUGAGCCCCCUGAAGAGUCGUUCAAGACCAGGACGUUGAUAGGUCAGGUGUGGAAGCGCAGUAAUGCGUUAAGCUAACUGAUACUAAUUGCUCGUGCGGCUUGACCCU